GUCUUUUUGAGUUAUUUUUAAAGUCUGACCUGCCCACUGAAGUUAUUUAAAUGGCCGCAGUAUUCUAACUGUGCAAAGGUAGCAUAAUCAUUAGUCUUUUAAUUGAAGGCUGGUAUGAACGGUUGGACGAGGUAUAAGCUGUUUCAUAUAAAUUUAUAAUAGAAUUUUAUAUUUUAGUCAAAAAGCUAAAAUUUAAUUAAAAGACGAGAAGACCCUAUAAAUCUUUAUACUUUACAUUGUUUAAAUUUUUUAGAUUAAUUUUAUUUUUAUAAUUUAAAGUAUUUUGUUGGGGUGAUAUUAAAAUUUAAUGAACUUUUAAUUAUUUAAAAUCAUUAAUUUAUGAGUUAUUGAUCCAUUAGUAGUGAUUAUAAGAUUAAGUUACUUUAGGGAUAACAGCGUAAUUUUUUUGGAGAGUUCAUAUCGAUAAAAAAGUUUGCGACCUCGAUGUUGGAUUAAGAUAUAUUUUUAGGUGUAGCCGCUUAAAUGU
This 487-nucleotide ribosomal RNA is filed under the name Bactrocera dorsalis (oriental fruit fly). RNAcentral's name for it is "partial 16S ribosomal RNA". It matches the Rfam family "Bacterial large subunit ribosomal RNA", at positions 1829 to 2572 of the family's 2925-position model. Lineage: Eukaryota; Metazoa; Arthropoda; Insecta; Diptera; Tephritidae. The record is from RNAcentral.